AACCUAUCAAAUUAAUCAAUUAUCGCAGUAUCUGUUAUUGGUUCCACCGAUUCCGGUUCCAAUUGCAAAUCUUCAUCUUCCUCCAAUCCUUCUAUCGGCUCCUGCCUCAAAUGAGCUGAAAGGUCUUCAUUGUACUCACCCAAUUCACGGACUUGAGCUUCCAAUUUCAGGAUCUGGGCAUCUCUCAAUUCCAACUGGCACUGAAAGUGACUCCUCUCUUCUAGAACUUCGAGAACUAGUAAUGUCGAUACUUGUGCUUGACCAAUAUUGACUAAAUUCUUUGCCAAUCUUGUCACCUCGGCAUUCAAGGCCUCAAUUUUAGCCCUUAACCGCUCCGUUUCACAUCUAUAUUGGUUACUCAAUACCAAUUUCUCUUGCGCCAAUAACUCGGUCUUUUCUCAUUCCAUUACCAAUUGACCCUUCACUUUUUUUAGUUCCAAAAUUGAAU
This 448-nucleotide long non-coding RNA is filed under the name Physcomitrium patens. RNAcentral describes it as "long non-coding RNA (PPAT_LNC014290)". The record is from RNAcentral. Lineage: Eukaryota; Viridiplantae; Streptophyta; Bryopsida; Funariales; Funariaceae.